Molecule: ribosomal RNA, 479 nt
Filed under: uncultured bacterium
Lineage: Bacteria
Description: partial 16S ribosomal RNA
Rfam family: Bacterial small subunit ribosomal RNA
Source: RNAcentral
GAUGAACGCUAGCGGGAGGCCUAACACAUGCAAGCCGAGCGGUAUUGUUUCGUCUGCACUGGGAGAGCGGCGUACGGGGGCGUGUCACGUGUGCAACCUUCCCUUAUCUGGGGGAUAGCCUUUCGAAAGGAAGCGCAAUUCUCCCUAAUAUAUUGAACGGCAUCGUUUAAUAUUUUAAGCUCCGGCGGUUAGAGAUGGGCACGCGCAAGAUUAGCUAGUUGGUGAGGUAACGGCUCACCAAGGCGAUGAUCUUUAGGUGGCCUGAGAGGGUGAUCCACCAGACUUGUACUGAGGUACGGACCAGACUGGGACGGGACGCAGCAGUGAGGAAGACUGGGGGAUGGGUGCUAGCCUGAACCAGCCGCCCCGCGGGAAGGACGAUUGCGCUAUGGGUUGUAAACUUGUUGGGUAUAAGGAUAAAAAGACACUCGUGAGGGUAGCUGAAGGUACUAUAAGAAUAAGCACCGGCUAACUCCGUG